UUCUGACCGUAAACGAUACCCAUCUAGCGAUCCGGUGGUGGUUUUACCGCCUUGCCGGGGAGCUUCCCGGAAACGAAAGACUUCCGGUUCCGGGGGUAGUAUGGUUGCAAAGCUGAAACUUAAAGGAAUUGACGGAAUCGCACCACCAGGAGUGGAGCCUGCGGCUUAAUUUGACUCAACACGGGAAAACUCACCCGGCCCGGACACUGUAAGGAUUGACAGACUGAGAGCUCUUUCUUGAUUCGGUGGUUGGUGGUGCAUGGCCGUUCUUAGUUGGUGGAGCGAUUUGUCUGGUUUAUUCCGAUAACGAGCGAGACGCACCCCUACUUAAUACACCGUGAAUAAUUUCGUUCACAGGUGUUCUUAGAGGAAUUGGCGGUAUCGAGCCGCACGAAAGUGCGCAAUAACAGGUCUGUGAUGCCCUUAGAUGUUCGGGGCUGCACGCGUGCUACACUGGAGUCUGCAACGUGUUCCAUGGCCGAAGGGUCACUGGUAAACCGUUGAAAAGAUUCCGUGAUCGGGAUAGGGAAUUGCAAUUAUUUCCCUUGAACGAGGAAUUCCUAGUAAGUGUGAGUCAUCAUCUCGCUCUU
This 590-nucleotide ribosomal RNA is filed under the name Mesorhabditis environmental sample. RNAcentral's name for it is "SSU rRNA". It matches the Rfam family "Eukaryotic small subunit ribosomal RNA", at positions 1024 to 1643 of the family's 1831-position model. Lineage: Eukaryota; Metazoa; Nematoda; Chromadorea; Rhabditida; Rhabditidae. The record is from RNAcentral.